UACGUAGGGGGCUAGCGUUGUCCGGAAUCAUUGGGCGUAAAGCGCGCGUAGGCGGCCCGGUAAGUCCGCUGUGAAAGUCAAAGGCUCAACCUUUGAAUGUCAGCGGAUACUGCCGGGCUAGAGUCCGGAAGAGGCGAGUGGAUUUCCUGGUGUAGCGGUGGAAUGCGCAGAUAUCAGGAGGAACACCAACGGCGAAGGCAGCUCGCUGGGACGGUACUGACGCUGAGGCGCGAAAGCGUGGGGAGCGAACAGG
RNAcentral lists this ribosomal RNA (253 nucleotides) under uncultured bacterium. RNAcentral describes it as "partial 16S ribosomal RNA". It matches the Rfam family "Bacterial small subunit ribosomal RNA", at positions 524 to 776 of the family's 1533-position model. The record is from RNAcentral.